GCAAGCCACAGCCGAAUUCUGCUCAGACCUGGGAUCCACCAGCCUGUGGACAUCGAAGGCCAUUCAAAAGUUAGUUGAACCCCAGUACUAUCAACUAAUCGAACUUCACGAUGCUAUUACACAGCAAUCCCACGAGAGUCUCCCGCCCGAACCUGGGUAGAAGGCUGAGAGUAGUAAGAGUUGUCCCAAUCCAACGAAGGCAAAGGAAAACCCGCAUACUAUUUUACUAUGGCCGCGUGGAUCAGCUCGAAUGGGAUCCUAAACUCUACACAUGGAGCGACACAACCCCCCUCAUGGCCUACACAGCCGCGUUUGGAAGAAUCUUGCUCAAGUCAAAACA
Molecule: long non-coding RNA, 340 nt
Filed under: Physcomitrium patens
Lineage: Eukaryota; Viridiplantae; Streptophyta; Bryopsida; Funariales; Funariaceae
Description: long non-coding RNA (PPAT_LNC011306)
Source: RNAcentral